UGGGGAAUUUUGGACAAUGGGCGAAAGCCUGAUCCAGCAAUGCCGCGUGUGUGAAGAAGGCCUUCGGGUUGUAAAGCACUUUUGUCCGGAAAGAAAUCCUUGGCUCUAAUACAGUCGGGGGAUGACGGUACCGGAAGAAUAAGCACCGGCUAACUACGUGCCAGCAGCCGCGGUAAUACGUAGGGUGCAAGCGUUAAUCGGAAUUACUGGGCGUAAAGCGUGCGCAGGCGGUUUGCUAAGACCGAUGUGAAAUCCCCGGGCUCAACCUGGGAACUGCAUUGGUGACUGGCAGGCUAGAGUAUGGCAGAGGGGGGUAGAAUUCCACGUGUAGCAGUGAAAUGCGUAGAGAUGUGGAGGAAUACCGAUGGCGAAGGCAGCCCCCUGGGCCAAUACUGACGCUCAUGCACGAAAGCGUGGGGAGCAAACAGGAUUAGAUACCCUGGUAGUCCACGCCCUAAACGAUGUCAACUAGUUGUUGGGGAUUCAUUUCCUUAGUAACGUAGCUAACGCGUGAAGUUGACCGCCUGGGGGAGUACGGUCGCAAGAUUAAAACUUAAGGAAUUGACGGGGUCAUAGCUGUUUCCU
Molecule: ribosomal RNA, 585 nt
Filed under: uncultured bacterium
Lineage: Bacteria
Description: partial 16S ribosomal RNA
Rfam family: Bacterial small subunit ribosomal RNA
Source: RNAcentral